AGGGACUUAGGAUAAUACAAAACCAGGAGCCUUCAAAGCUCAAAAUAGGAGUGAAAAUCUUCUAGUCCCUG
RNAcentral lists this transfer RNA (71 nucleotides) under Bhavania australis (Western Ghat loach). RNAcentral's name for it is "tRNA-Trp". It matches the Rfam family "tRNA". Rfam says of the family: Transfer RNA (tRNA) molecules are approximately 80 nucleotides in length. Their secondary structure includes four short double-helical elements and three loops (D, anti-codon, and T loops). The record is from RNAcentral. Lineage: Eukaryota; Metazoa; Chordata; Actinopteri; Cypriniformes; Balitoridae.